Molecule: ribosomal RNA, 293 nt
Filed under: uncultured bacterium
Lineage: Bacteria
Description: partial 16S ribosomal RNA
Rfam family: Archaeal small subunit ribosomal RNA
Source: RNAcentral
GUGCCAGCCGCCGCGGUAAUACCGGCAGCCCGAGUGAUGGCCGAUCUUAUUGGGCCUAAAGCGUCCGUAGCUGGCCGCGCAAGUCCGUCGGGAAAUCCAUCAGCCCAACUGAUGGGCGUCCGGCGGAAACUGCACGGCUUGGGACCGGAAGGCUCGAGAGGUACGUCCGGGGUAGGAGUGAAAUCCCAUAAUCCCGCACGGACCACCGAUGGCGAAAGCACUUCGAGAAAACGGAUCCGACAGUGAGGGACGAAAGCCAGGGUCUCCAACCGGAUUAGAUACCCCAGUAGUCC